Molecule: ribosomal RNA, 500 nt
Filed under: uncultured bacterium
Lineage: Bacteria
Description: partial 16S ribosomal RNA
Rfam family: Bacterial small subunit ribosomal RNA
Source: RNAcentral
AUUGAACGCUGGCGGAAUGCUUUACACAUGCAAGUCGAACGGCAGCACGGACUUCGGUCUGGUGGCGAGUGGCGAACGGGUGAGUAAUGUAUCGGAACGUGCCCAGUCGUGGGGGAUAACGUAGUGAAAAUUACGCUAAUACCGCAUACGAUCUAUGGAUGAAAGCGGGGGAUCGCAAGACCUCGCGCGAUUGGAGCGGCCGAUAUCAGAUGAGGUAGUUGGGGGGGUAAAGGCCCACCAAGCCAACGAUCUGUAGCUGGUCUGAGAGGACGACCAGCCACACUGGAACUGAGACAUGGUCCAGACUCCGACGGGAGGCAGCAGUGGGGAAUUUUGGACAAUGGGCGAAAGCCUGAUCCAGCCAUUCCGCGUGCAGGAUGAAGGCCCUCGGGUUGUAAACUGCUUUUGUACAGAACGAAAAGGUUUCUACUAAUACUAGGAGCUCAUGACGGUACUGUAAGAAUAAGCACCGGCUAACUACGUGCCAGCAGCCGCGGUAA